UGUAACUGGGGGGCAGAGACAGGGGUAUGACGAGGGUGGCAAGCGGUGUUCGGAUGUACUGGGCGUACAGGGAGCGUAGGCGGUUGGAUAAGGCCUCCGUGAAAUCUCCAGGGUUAACCUGGAAAGUGCAGAGGGGACUGUGCAGCGAGAGGAUGGGAGAGGAGCGCGGAAUUCCCGGUGUAGCGGUGAAAUGCGUAGAGAUCGGGAGGAAGGCCGGUGGCGAAGGCGGCGCUCUGGAACAUUUCUGACGCUGAGGCUCGAAAGCGUGGGGAGCAAACAGGAUUAGAUACCCCUGUAGUC
RNAcentral lists this ribosomal RNA (300 nucleotides) under uncultured Desulfurococcus sp. RNAcentral's name for it is "bacterial SSU rRNA". It matches the Rfam family "Bacterial small subunit ribosomal RNA", at positions 496 to 795 of the family's 1533-position model. The record is from RNAcentral. Lineage: Archaea; Thermoproteati; Thermoproteota; Thermoprotei; Desulfurococcales; Desulfurococcaceae.